GUCGAGAAUAAUUCACAAUGGACGAAAGUCUGAUGGUGCAACGCCGCGUGGAGGAUGACGGUCUUCGGAUUGUAAACUCCUGUCAUCCGGGAGUAAGACCUGGCUGUGAAUAGCAGACAGGGUUGAUAGUACCGGAAGAGGAAGGGACGGCUAACUUCGUGCCAGCAGCCGCGGCAAUACGAAGGUCCCGAGCGUUGUUCGGAAUCACUGGGCGUAAAGGGAGCGUAGGCGGCGUGGUAAGUCAGAUGUGAAAUCCCGGGGCUCAACCCCGGAACUGCAUCCGAUACUGCCGUGCUAGAGGAUUGGAGAGGUAGCUGGAAUUCUUGGUGUAGCAGUGAAAUGCGUGGAGAUCAAGAGGAACACUCGUGGCGAAAGCGAGCUACUGGACAAUAUCUGACGCUGAGGCUCGAAGGCCAGGGUAGCGAAAGGGAUUAGAUACCCCUGUAGUCC
This 450-nucleotide ribosomal RNA is filed under the name uncultured bacterium. RNAcentral's name for it is "partial 16S ribosomal RNA". It matches the Rfam family "Bacterial small subunit ribosomal RNA", at positions 354 to 796 of the family's 1533-position model. The record is from RNAcentral.